GAUGAACGCUGGCGGCGUGCCUAAUACAUGCAAGUCGAGCGAACGGACGAGAAGCUUGCUUCUCUGACGUUAGCGGCGGACGGGUGAGUAACACGCGGAUAACCUACCUAUAAGACUGGGAUAACUUCGGGAAACCGGAGCUAAUACCGGAUAAUAUAUUGAACCGCAUGGUUCAAUAGUGAAAGACGGUCUUGCUGUCACUUAUAGAUGGAUCCGCGCCGCAUUAGCUAGUUGGUAAGGUAACGGCUUACCAAGGCAACGAUGCAUAGCCGACCUGAGAGGGUGAUCGGCCACACUGGAACUGAGACACGGUCCAGACUCCUACGGGAGGCAGCAGUAGGGAAUCUUCCGCAAUGGGCGAAAGCCUGACGGAGCAACGCCGCGUGAGUGAUGAAGGUCUUCGGAUCGUAAAACUCUGUUAUUAGGGAAGAACAAAUGUGUAAGUAACUAUGCACAUCUUGACGGUACCUAAUCAGAAAGCCACGGCUAACUACGUG
RNAcentral lists this ribosomal RNA (497 nucleotides) under uncultured bacterium. RNAcentral describes it as "partial 16S ribosomal RNA". It matches the Rfam family "Bacterial small subunit ribosomal RNA", at positions 28 to 507 of the family's 1533-position model. The record is from RNAcentral.